AGCCAUCACUGCAUCACCUCUGCCAUUAAUGUGGAAGUUCCUGUAUUGUAUCCUGGCUGCAAGGUAGAAACCACGUCUGACAAUCCAAAGGGUGUGUGUGUGUGGGGGGGGGGGGGGGUACAUGCAGGAGAGGGAGAGCUGCUGUAUUGUAGCGCCUCAGGGCAGCGCUCCAAGUCAAUAUAUAUCUCCACAGUCGUGUCUGCGCUCCCAUUUGAGCGGGACGUGCUGCCCUGCUGCCACUGCUGCCGAGGAGUGACAGACAGCUACAACCGGACGCUCUCUAGAACUCUUUUUGUAAACGGAGGCAAACAGAAAUUUCAUCUGAGGUGCAGUAUUUAUUUUUCAUGAAUCCACAAAAAAGACGUGUUUAAAAGUGACCUAAAAUAUAAUUAUUUGGCGUGUGUAUAUAUUUAUAUUUUAGAAAAAGAUUCAGUGUGCUAGGUUGAGUGGAGCUGUGCGUGCAGCUUGUUAAAGCUUUUAGUGUGGCAAAACUCCUUAAUUGCCACAAUAGAUGUUCAAGCGGUCGGACUCGCAUGAUCAUCAUCCCUAAAAGCUGAAAACAAGACCGCAGGGUUUGGAUAUGGGGACAUGGGGAGGCAAAGUGCACAGCUGCUGGAGGGAGGUGCGGAUAGCAGUGGCCAGGAGAGGGUAAAAAUGCACUGUAAAAAUGAUUUUUAUUGAUUGGCUCGUAGCAGCAGCUGUUAGACUCCAUUAUGAGCUCAAAGCUCAGGUCAGAGCCCUCAGGCGCAGAAGUGAGCCAAUCAAAUGGUCAGCCAGUAACAGACCAGUUCUAAGGGUCCAGUUGGGAGAGUAGUCGGGAAGCAGCCUGCCACCCUGCGUUAGACUCACAGGGUUCUUCAUCAUCACCCUUCACGCUGCUGCUUAAUAGAUUAGGCUGCCCCUCAGUGAAACUGCCAAUUCAUCACCAGUGCUCACCUUAACAACCUUUAUUUCAAAACCUUGCACGUGAGCGGAAAAAGAUUAAAGGUUUUCUUUUUCCCACUUUUUUAUUCUUCUUCUUUACAACAGAGAUCCACAACUUUAUCCAGGCUUUCAUCUUCAAAAAAAACAAAAAAAAACCUGAGGAAAAAUACCAAAAUAAAAGCCUCCAGGGUUUCCAAACUUGUGAAACAAAUAGCUGCACACGUUCCUGCAGGCUGCAGCCAACAGCAUCCCUCUCGCUAUGAAAAGAUCAGAAAGUUUCUGUGACCGCAGAGCUGAAAUAAAGGGAGUUGAAAUUUUUGAUCAGAAAAUAAAAGAUGAAAUAUGGUCACGUAAGAGCCAAAAAGGUCUAAAAAAUUAAUAGUACAAAGACUGAAAUAAAUCCACCCAACUUUAAUUUUUUAUAAUAUUUUUAGGAUUAAAAUUCUAUAAAAGUAAAUAUCAAGAUUUCAUGUUUUUCUAUCAAUCUAAACUAUAAAUUUAUUUGCAUAUGGGCACCAAACACAUUUUGUUAGCAAUGAACAAAAUACACCUGACCCUAAUCUC
This 1488-nucleotide long non-coding RNA is filed under the name Oryzias sinensis (Chinese medaka). Its description in RNAcentral is "lncRNA (ENSOSIG00000008040.1)". The record is from RNAcentral. Lineage: Eukaryota; Metazoa; Chordata; Actinopteri; Beloniformes; Adrianichthyidae.